RNAcentral lists this ribosomal RNA (777 nucleotides) under Staphylococcus gallinarum. Its description in RNAcentral is "bacterial SSU rRNA". It matches the Rfam family "Bacterial small subunit ribosomal RNA", at positions 56 to 815 of the family's 1533-position model. The record is from RNAcentral. Lineage: Bacteria; Bacillati; Bacillota; Bacilli; Caryophanales; Staphylococcaceae.
UGCAGUCGAGCGAACAGAUAAGGAGCUUGCUCCUUUGACGUUAGCGGCGGACGGGUGAGUAACACGUGGGUAACCUACCUAUAAGACUGGAAUAACUCCGGGAAACCGGGGCUAAUGCCGGAUAACAUAUAGAACCGCAUGGUUCUAUAGUGAAAGAUGGUUUUGCUAUCACUUAUAGAUGGACCCGCGCCGUAUUAGCUAGUUGGUAAGGUAAUGGCUUACCAAGGCGACGAUACGUAGCCGACCUGAGAGGGUGAUCGGCCACACUGGAACUGAGACACGGUCCAGACUCCUACGGGAGGCAGCAGUAGGGAAUCUUCCGCAAUGGGCGAAAGCCUGACGGAGCAACGCCGCGUGAGUGAUGAAGGGUUUCGGCUCGUAAAACUCUGUUAUUAGGGAAGAACAUAUGUGUAAGUAACUGUGCACAUCUUGACGGUACCUAAUCAGAAAGCCACGGCUAACUACGUGCCAGCAGCCGCGGUAAUACGUAGGUGGCAAGCGUUAUCCGGAAUUAUUGGGCGUAAAGCGCGCGUAGGCGGUUUCUUAAGUCUGAUGUGAAAGCCCACGGCUCAACCGUGGAGGGUCAUUGGAAACUGGGAAACUUGAGUGCAGAAGAGGAAAGUGGAAUUCCAUGUGUAGCGGUGAAAUGCGCAGAGAUAUGGAGGAACACCAGUGGCGAAGGCGACUUUCUGGUCUGUAACUGACGCUGAUGUGCGAAAGCGUGGGGAUCAAACAGGAUUAGAUACCCCUGGUAGUCCACGCCGUAAACGAUGAGUG